UGGGGAAUUUUGGACAAUGGGGGAAACCCUGAUCCAGCCAUCCCGCGUGUGCGAUGAAGGCCUUCGGGUUGUAAAGCACUUUUGGCAGGAAAGAAACGUCAUGGGUUAAUACCCCGUGAAACAGACGGUACCUGCAGAAUAAGCACCGGCUAACUACGUGCCAGCAGCCGCGGUAAUACGUAGGGUGCAAGCGUUAAUCGGAAUUACUGGGCGUAAAGCGUGCGCAGGCGGUUCGGAAAGAAAGAUGUGAAAUCCCAGAGCUCAACUUUGGAACUGCAUUUUUAACUACCGGGCUAGAGUGUGUCAGAGGGAGGUGGAAUUCCGCGUGUAGCAGUGAAAUGCGUAGAUAUGCGGAGGAACACCGAUGGCGAAGGCAGCCUCCUGGGAUAACACUGACGCUCAUGCACGAAAGCGUGGGGAGCAAACAGG
RNAcentral lists this ribosomal RNA (429 nucleotides) under Acidobacteriota bacterium. RNAcentral's name for it is "Acidobacteria bacterium partial 16S ribosomal RNA". It matches the Rfam family "Bacterial small subunit ribosomal RNA", at positions 355 to 776 of the family's 1533-position model. Lineage: Bacteria; Pseudomonadati; Acidobacteriota. The record is from RNAcentral.